This 466-nucleotide ribosomal RNA is filed under the name uncultured bacterium. Its description in RNAcentral is "partial 16S ribosomal RNA". It matches the Rfam family "Bacterial small subunit ribosomal RNA", at positions 28 to 505 of the family's 1533-position model. The record is from RNAcentral.
GACGAACGCUGGCGGCGUGCUUAACACAUGCAAGUCGAACGGAAAGGCCCUGCUUUUGUGGGGUGCUCGAGUGGCGAACGGGUGAGUAACACGUGAGUAACCUGCCCUUGACUUUGGGAUAACUUCAGGAAACUGGGGCUAAUACCGGAUAGGAGCUCCUGCUGCAUGGUGGGGGUUGGAAAGUUUCGGCGGUUGGGGAUGGACUCGCGGCUUAUCAGCUUGUUGGUGGGGUAGUGGCUUACCAAGGCUUUGACGGGUAGCCGGCCUGAGAGGGUGACCGGCCACAUUGGGACUGAGAUACGGCCCAGACUCCUACGGGAGGCAGCAGGGGGGAAUAGUGCACAAUGGGCGGAAGCCUGAUGCAGCAACGCCGCGUGCGGGAUGACGGCCUUCGGGGUGUAAACCGCUUUCGCCUGUGACGAAGCGUGAGUGACGGGAAGGGGUAAAGAAGCACCGGCUAACGACG